CCUACGGGAGGCAGCAGUGAGGAAUAUUGGUCAAUGGGCGCGAGCCUGAACCAGCCAAGUCGCGUGAAGGAAGACUGUCCUAUGGAUUGUAAACUUCUUUUGUACAGGAAUAAAGUGUUCUACGUGUAGGAUUUUGCAUGUACCGUACGAAUAAGGAUCGGCUAACUCCGUGCCAGCAGCCGCGGUAAU
This 189-nucleotide ribosomal RNA is filed under the name uncultured bacterium. Its description in RNAcentral is "partial 16S rRNA". It matches the Rfam family "Bacterial small subunit ribosomal RNA", at positions 338 to 524 of the family's 1533-position model. The record is from RNAcentral.